GUGCGGUGGGGCCAGAUGUUACAUUCCCCUCACCUCACGGCACCCUUAAGGAACCAGCUGAGACAUGUGAGGGCAAGUGACAAACAGCUCUUUUGCCAGCAGUGCAAGUGAGAGCAGGAUCACUGCUAGAUAAACCACCUACCUGUAUGCGAGCUUUCGACUCAUACUAGAGCACGGCGGGAAGGAUCCAGUAGAAAAGGAAAGAUGAAGACACAGAAGAGGGAAGGGAGAACUGAUGGAGCAAGGCCGCUGAGAAGCCUUUGUCUGCUGAUGGGAAUGAGGUAGUGGACAGCCAAGCCACACAACAGGAGCUGGAGAAAGACGUCUUGGGCAAUUUGCACACGAAUUUCCUUCUUUAAAUAACUACACAG
Long non-coding RNA from Equus quagga, 371 nucleotides. RefSeq lists it as uncharacterized. The transcript has 3 exons. The record is from RefSeq and is a predicted model, not a curated record. Lineage: Eukaryota; Metazoa; Chordata; Mammalia; Perissodactyla; Equidae.